RNAcentral lists this ribosomal RNA (175 nucleotides) under Peristylus tradescantiifolius. Its description in RNAcentral is "5.8S ribosomal RNA". The stretch from base 4 to 159 matches the Rfam family "5.8S ribosomal RNA". Rfam says of the family: 5.8S ribosomal RNA (5.8S rRNA) is a component of the large subunit of the eukaryotic ribosome. It is transcribed by RNA polymerase I as part of the 45S precursor that also contains 18S and 28S rRNA. The record is from RNAcentral. Lineage: Eukaryota; Viridiplantae; Streptophyta; Magnoliopsida; Asparagales; Orchidaceae.
UAGGACUCUCGGCAAUGGAUAUCUUGGCUCUCGCAUCGAUGAAGAGCGCAGCGAAAUGCGAUACGUGGUGCGAAUUGCAGAAUCCCGUGAACCAUCGAGUUUUUGAACGCAAGUUGCGCCCGAGGCCAGCUGACCGAGGGCACGUCCGCCUGGGCGUCAAGCAUUGAAUCGCCCC